This 375-nucleotide ribosomal RNA is filed under the name uncultured organism. RNAcentral describes it as "partial 16S ribosomal RNA". It matches the Rfam family "Bacterial small subunit ribosomal RNA", at positions 526 to 896 of the family's 1533-position model. The record is from RNAcentral.
CGUAGGGGGCGAGCGUUGUCCGAAGUUACUGGGCGUAAAGCGCGCGUAGGCGGGGGGUUAAGUGAGAGGUGAAAGGGCUGGGGCUCAACCUCAUGCAGUGCCUCUCGUACUGGCCUUCGUUGAGGGCGGUAGGGAGAAGUGGAAUGGCUGGUGUAGCGGUGAAAUGCGUAGAUAUCAGUCGGAACACCGGUGGCGAAGGCGGCUUCUUGGGCCGUUCCUGACGCUGAUGCGCGAAAGCUGGGGGAGCGAACGGGAUUAGAUACCCCGGUAGUCCCAGCCGUAAACGAUGGAUACUAGGUGUCGGGGGUAUCGACCCCCCCGGUGCCGCAGCUAACGCAUUAAGUAUCCCGCCUGGGGAGUACGGCCGCAAGGUUG